This 257-nucleotide ribosomal RNA is filed under the name uncultured bacterium. Its description in RNAcentral is "partial 16S ribosomal RNA". It matches the Rfam family "Bacterial small subunit ribosomal RNA", at positions 524 to 777 of the family's 1533-position model. The record is from RNAcentral.
UACGGGGGGGGCAAGCGUUGUUCGGAAUUACUGGGCGUAAAGGGCUCGUAGGCGGCCCAACUAAGUCAGACGUGAAAUCCCUCGGCUUAACCGGGGAACUGCGUCUGAUACUGGAUGGCUUGAGAUUGGGAGAGGGAUGCGGAAUUCCAGGUGUAGCGGUGAAAUGACGUAGAUAUCUGGAGGAACACCGGUGGCGAAGGCGACAUCCUGGACCAACACUGACGCUGAGGAGCGAAAGCCAGGGGGAGCAAACGGGG